UCAGGACGAACGCUGGCGGCGUGCUUCAUACAUGCAAGUCGAACGAGAAGCAGGUCUUCGGACUGUGGAAAGUGGCGGACGGGUGAGUAAAAUGUAGAGAAUCUGCCCUAGAGCGGGGGAUAGCAGUUGGAAACGACUAUUAAUACCCCAUAUGAGCGUACUUGAGAUAGUAUUCUUGAAAACUCCGGUGCUCUAGGAUGAGUCUGCAUCUGAUUAGCUAGUAGGCGGUGUAAUGGACCACCCAGGCGACGAUCAGUAGCUGGUUUGAGAGGAUGAUCAGCCACAAUGGGACUGAGACACGGCCCAUACUCCUACGGGAGGCAGCAGUAGGGAAUUUUGCGCAAUGGGGGAAACCCUGACGCCAGCAACGCCGCGUGAAUGAAGAAGCCCUUCGGGGUGUAAAGUUCUGUCAGUGGGGACGAAACUUGACGGUACCCACAGAGGAAGCAUCGGCUAACUCCGUGCCAGCCGCUGC
RNAcentral lists this ribosomal RNA (475 nucleotides) under uncultured bacterium. Its description in RNAcentral is "bacterial SSU rRNA". It matches the Rfam family "Bacterial small subunit ribosomal RNA", at positions 24 to 518 of the family's 1533-position model. The record is from RNAcentral.